CUUCCACUGCUGGUGGUCUUGUGCCAGCAGCUCUGCAUCCUCUACAGCAACUCCAUGUUGUUUGAGGACGCCCGCAACAACGACGGAUGCCCAAAGGAGUUUCACCAGAACAUCAGCUACUGUCGCUGUGCUAUUGAGUGGCGUUGUUCUCCUCUAGAAAGUGGAUCCUGAAUGUGUCAUCUACAAGAUUUUAUGCUGCAUUUCUUGUUCAGAAUUUCAGGUCUUGUCCAAUAUUUCAGGUCUUGUACAAAAUUUAAGGUAAGUGCUGUCUUGUGUUGUUGUUACAUCAUAUCACCAGCAAGCCUUGGAAGAGGGUCCCUCUUUCCAAGUUCUUCCCAAGGGUUUCUCCAAUAUUUCCUCAAGAGAGGACAUUUGGAGUUUUCCCUUGUUGACAAGAGCUUGCUGGAUUGAUGAAAUGAUUGUUUUUUUUCAGAUUUUAUGCUGCAUUUCUUGUUCAAAAUUUCAGGUAAGUGCUAUCUUGUGUUGUUGUUCCAUCAUGUCACCAGCAAGCCUUGAUAGACGGUCCCUCUUUCCAAGUUCUUUCCAACGGUUUCUCCAAUAUUUCCUCAAGAGAGGACAUUUGGAGUUUUUCCUUGUUUACAAGAACUUGCUAGAUUGAUGGCAUAACUUUGUUUAAUGUAAUCUAUUCUACAGGUCUUUUUCAAUAUUUCAGGUAAGUUGUAUUUUGUGUUGUUGUUACAUCAUGUCAUCAGCAAGCCUUGGAAGAGGGUCUGUCUUUCCAAGUUCUUCCCAAGGGUUUCUCCAAUGUUUCCUCAAGAGAGGACAUUUGGAGUUUUUCCUUGUUGACAAGAGCUUGCUAUAUUGAUUGCAUAACUUUGUUU
Amphiprion ocellaris (clown anemonefish) is the source of this 842-nucleotide long non-coding RNA. Lineage: Eukaryota; Metazoa; Chordata; Actinopteri; Pomacentridae. The record is from Ensembl.